AUAAGGUAAUGUGAAUUGCAGAAUUCAGUGAAUCAUCGAAUCUUGAACGCACAUUGCGCCCGCCAGUAUUCUGGCGGGCAUGCCUGUCCGAGCGUCAUUUCAACCCUCGAACCCCUCCGGGGGGUCGGCGUUGGGGACCUCGGGAGCCCCUAAGACGGGAUCCCGGCCCCGAAAUACAGUGGCGGUCUCGCCGCAGCCUCUCCUGCGCAGUAGUUUGCACAACUCGCACCGGGAGCGCGGCGCGUCCACGUCCGUAAAACACCCAACUUUCUGAAAUGUUGACCUCGGAUCAGGUAGGAAUACCCGCUGAACUUAAGCAUAUCAAUAAGCGGAGGAAAAGAAACCAACAGGGAUUGCCCCAGUAACGGCGAGUGAAGCGGCAACAGCUCAAAUUUGAAAUCUGGCCCCUAGGGUCCGAGUUGUAAUUUGUAGAGGAUGCUUUUGGUGAGGUGCCGCCCGAGUUCCCUGGAACGGGACGCCGCAGAGGGUGAGAGCCCCGUCUGGCUGGCCACCGAGCCUCUGUAAAGCUCCUUCGACGAGUCGAGUAGUUUGGGAAUGCUGCUCAAAAUGGGAGGUAUAUGUCU
Molecule: ribosomal RNA, 584 nt
Filed under: Trichoderma sp. C4B3SNA1CC44
Lineage: Eukaryota; Fungi; Ascomycota; Sordariomycetes; Hypocreales; Hypocreaceae
Description: eukaryotic LSU rRNA
Rfam family: Eukaryotic large subunit ribosomal RNA (bases 280-584)
Source: RNAcentral